Molecule: long non-coding RNA, 344 nt
Organism: Sarcophilus harrisii (Tasmanian devil)
Lineage: Eukaryota; Metazoa; Chordata; Mammalia; Dasyuromorphia; Dasyuridae
Exons: 3
Source: RefSeq, a predicted model, not a curated record
GGGGGAGUCUAAGUUAUCCGGCACACCCUGCCUUUCGUCCAUCAGAAUGACUCUUCCUUCAGCAAGAAUCUCCCUUUUGAUGUUGUGCAUGCUGGUUGGAGUGCAAGCCCUAAAUAUAAGUAUCUUGCAGGGCUGCUUGAAGCUACCCUUUGGGAUCCUACUUCUGACAUCAAAUUGUCAGCUGAAAAUGAAUUACAAGCUAAGAAAAUUUGAAGGGAAAACUUAUUAAGCUUUGUUGGAAGAAGCGAGAGCCUAAAAAGAUGGCCAACUCCCAAGUCUCUAUGGAUUACAUACUUAAAAGGUCUGAACUCAGGUUACAAGGAAGAGAGGGAAAUGAUGCUAAU